CAGUCGCCACGGGAAUACGAAGGGUGCAAGCGUUACUCGGAAUUACUGGGCGUAAAGCGUGCGUAGGUGGUGGUUUAAGUCCGUUGUGAAAGCCCUGGGCUCAACCUGGGAAUUGCAGUGGAUACUGGAUCACUAGAGUGUGGUAGAGGAUAGUGGAAUUUCCGGUGUAGCAGUGAAAUGCGUAGAGAUCGGAGGGAACAUCUGUGGCGAAGGCGACUAUCUGGGCCAACACUGACACUGAGGCACGAAAGCGUGGGGAGCAAACAGGAUUAGAUACCCCUGUAGUCCCUGUCUCUUAUAC
Molecule: ribosomal RNA, 301 nt
Filed under: uncultured bacterium
Lineage: Bacteria
Description: partial 16S ribosomal RNA
Rfam family: Bacterial small subunit ribosomal RNA
Source: RNAcentral